This 339-nucleotide unclassified non-coding RNA is filed under the name Hevea brasiliensis (rubber tree). The record is from RNAcentral. Lineage: Eukaryota; Viridiplantae; Streptophyta; Magnoliopsida; Malpighiales; Euphorbiaceae.
GAAAAAAAGUGCUGGAGUACAAAUCCAACAUAUGCAAAGUGUGUAAAGUUGGUAAAUGGCCAACCUUUUAAAGCCAAAAAAAGGUGAUGACGCUGGGUUUUGAAGCUAAACACAAUGAUGCCAAAGUGGAAACUACUCCAUGUUUUCCUCUUGCACUACUUAGGGGGUGCUUGGUACAAGGUUAACAAGCGGUAAUUAUUAUCUAUGUAACUUUUAAUCCUUUGUUAUUUUUGUUUGUAUAUUUAAAGAGGUUAUGUUAAUUUUUCAUCUUAUUAAUAUUUAUACUUUUUUGAAGGGUUAAAUGUUAACCUUGAGGGACUAGGUUAAUAAUUACCAUCU